UACGUAGGGGGCAAGCGUUGUCCGGAUUCAUUGGGCGUAAAGAGCGUGUAGGCGGCCAGGUAGGUCGGUUGUGAAAACUGGAGGCUCAACCUUCAGAGGUCGACCGAAACCAUCUGGCUAGAGUCCGGGAGAGGAGAGUGGAAUUCCUGGUGUAGCGGUGAAAUGCGCAGAUAUCGGGAAGAACACCCGUGGCGAAGGCGGCUCUCUGGGACGGUACUGACGCUGAGACGCGAAAGCGUGGGGAGCGAACAGG
RNAcentral lists this ribosomal RNA (253 nucleotides) under uncultured bacterium. Its description in RNAcentral is "partial 16S ribosomal RNA". It matches the Rfam family "Bacterial small subunit ribosomal RNA", at positions 524 to 776 of the family's 1533-position model. The record is from RNAcentral.